UGUGGGAGCCAGCCUGCUGGCGAUAGCGGUAUGUCAGACACAUGAAUAUCGACUGAUGCACCGCCAUCGCCAGCAGGCUGGCUCCCACA
RNAcentral lists this unclassified non-coding RNA (89 nucleotides) under Pseudomonas reinekei. Lineage: Bacteria; Pseudomonadati; Pseudomonadota; Gammaproteobacteria; Pseudomonadales; Pseudomonadaceae. The record is from RNAcentral.